Molecule: transfer RNA, 75 nt
Filed under: Eggerthella sp. CAG:209
Lineage: Bacteria; Bacillati; Actinomycetota; Coriobacteriia; Eggerthellales; Eggerthellaceae
Also listed under: 4 other names
Description: transfer RNA-Val(GAC)
Rfam family: tRNA
About the family: Transfer RNA (tRNA) molecules are approximately 80 nucleotides in length. Their secondary structure includes four short double-helical elements and three loops (D, anti-codon, and T loops).
Source: RNAcentral
GGGCGAUUAGCUCAGGGGGAGAGCGCCACCUUGACACGGUGGAGGUCACUGGUUCGAUCCCAGUAUCGCCCACCA